This 253-nucleotide ribosomal RNA is filed under the name uncultured bacterium. RNAcentral's name for it is "partial 16S ribosomal RNA". It matches the Rfam family "Bacterial small subunit ribosomal RNA", at positions 524 to 776 of the family's 1533-position model. The record is from RNAcentral.
UACAGAGGUCCCAAGCGUUGUUCGGAAUCACUGGGCGUAAAGCGCACGUAGGCGGAUUUGUAAGUCAGGGGUGAAAUCCCGGGGCUCAACCUCGGAACUGCCUUUGAUACUGCGAAUCUCGAGUCCGAUAGAGGUGGGUGGAAUUCCUAGUGUAGAGGUGAAAUUCGUAGAUAUUAGGAGGAACACCGGUGGCGAAGGCGGCCCACUGGAUCGGUACUGACGCUGAGGUGCGAAAGCGUGGGGAGCAAACAGG